AUUGAACGCUGGCGGAAUGCUUUACACAUGCAAGUCGAACGGCAGCACGGGGGCAACCCUGGUGGCGAGUGGCGAACGGGUGAGUAAUACAUCGGAACGUGCCCGGUCGUGGGGGAUAACGUAGCGAAAGUUACGCUAAUACCGCAUACGAUCUGAGGAUGAAAGCGGGGGACCUUCGGGCCUCGCGCGAUCGGAGCGGCCGAUGUCAGAUUAGGUAGUUGGUGGGGUAAAGGCCUACCAAGCCGACGAUCUGUAGCUGGUCUGAGAGGACGACCAGCCACACUGGGACUGAGACACGGCCCAGACUCCUACGGGAGGCAGCAGUGGGGAAUUUUGGACAAUGGGUGCAAGCCUGAUCCAGCCAUUCCGCGUGCAGGACGAAGGCCUUCGGGUUGUAAACUGCUUUUGUAUGGAACGAAAAGGCUCUGGCUAAUACCUGGGGCUCAUGACGGUACCGUAAGAAUAAGCACCGGCUAACUACGUG
RNAcentral lists this ribosomal RNA (484 nucleotides) under uncultured bacterium. RNAcentral's name for it is "partial 16S ribosomal RNA". It matches the Rfam family "Bacterial small subunit ribosomal RNA", at positions 30 to 507 of the family's 1533-position model. The record is from RNAcentral.